Molecule: ribosomal RNA, 405 nt
Filed under: uncultured bacterium
Lineage: Bacteria
Description: partial 16S ribosomal RNA
Rfam family: Bacterial small subunit ribosomal RNA
Source: RNAcentral
AUUGAACGCUGGCGGCGUGCCUAAUACAUGCAAGUCGAGCGAAGAGGGGACGGGGGAGUAACACGUGGAUAACCUCCCAUAAGACUGGGAUAACCUCGGGAAAACGGUACUAAUCCGGAUACUUAUAGCUGGAUGCGCGCUGCAUUAGCUAGUUGGUCAGGUAACGGCUUACCAAGGCAACGAUGCAUAGCCGACCUGAGAGGGUGAUCAGCCACACUGGAACUGAGAAACGGUCCAGACUCCUACGGGAGGCAGCAGUGGGGAAUCUUCCGCAAUGGGCGAAAGCCUGACGGAGCAACGCCGCGUGUGUGAUGAAGGUCUUCGGAUCGUAAAGCUCUGUUAUUGGGGAAGCGGUACCUAAUCAGAAAGCCACGGCUAACUACGUGCCAGCAGCCGCGGUAAUUC